RNAcentral lists this ribosomal RNA (326 nucleotides) under uncultured eukaryote. RNAcentral's name for it is "partial 18S ribosomal RNA". It matches the Rfam family "Eukaryotic small subunit ribosomal RNA", at positions 1470 to 1796 of the family's 1831-position model. The record is from RNAcentral.
CCCUUAGAUGUUCUGGGCCGCACGCGCGCUACACUGACGAAGUCAGCGAGCAUGUCCUACGCCGACAGGUGCGGGGAAUCUUGUCAAACUUCGUCGUGAUGGGGAUUGAUUAUUGAAAUUCUUGAUCAUCAACGAGGAAUUCCUAGUAGGCGCAAGUCAUCAGCUUGCGUCGAUUACGUCCCUGCCCUUUGUACACACCGCCCGUCGCUCCUACCGAUUGGGUGUGCUGGUGAAAUGUUCGGAUCGGCCGUUUGUCGCGGUUUCCGCGUCAUGUGGCUGAGAAGUUCAUUAAACCCUCCCACCUAGAGGAAGGAGAAGUCGUAACA